Molecule: ribosomal RNA, 2569 nt
Filed under: leotiomycete sp. G21-24-KI129
Lineage: Eukaryota; Fungi; Ascomycota; Leotiomycetes
Description: partial 18S ribosomal RNA
Rfam family: Eukaryotic small subunit ribosomal RNA
Source: RNAcentral
UGCAUGUCUAAGUAUAAGCAACUAUACUGUGAAACUGCGAAUGGCUCAUUAAAUCAGUUAUCGUUUAUUUGAUAGUACCUUACUACUUGGAUAACCGUGGUAAUUCUAGAGCUAAUACAUGCUAAAAACCUCGACUUCGGAAGGGGUGUAUUUAUUAGAUAAAAAACCAAUGCCCUUCGGGGCUCACUGGUGAUUCAUAAUAACUUAACGAAUCGCAUGGCCUUGUGCCGGCGAUGGUUCAUUCAAAUUUCUGCCCUAUCACCUUUCGAUUGUUGGAUAGUGGCCAACAAUGGGUUCAACGGGUAACGGGGAAUUAGGGUUCUAUUCCGGAGAGGGAGCCUGAGAAACGGCUACCACAUCCAAGGAAGGCAGCAGGCGCGCAAAUUACCCAAUCCCGACACGGGGAGGUAGUGACAAUAAAUACUGAUACAGGGCUCUUUUGGGUCUUGUAAUUGGAAUGAGUACAAUUUAAAUCCCUUAACGAGGAACAAUUGGAGGGCAAGUCUGGUGGACAUUGGCGUCCUGAGGUGUUAAAACCUCUUAUUGCUGACGCCAGAAAGAGAAGAACUUCGGUUCUACUAGUCGACUAUACUACAAGCUUUGGGUGUAUAGCGGCAAGACAACCUGGAUCGGGGGAGGCUAAGGGCGCAAGCCUAUGCUAACCCCGAGCCGAGCUACUGGAGGGCAACCCCCAGAUAGCCGGUGUAGAGCGCGGAAAGGUGUCGGUCAUCCUAUCUGAUAGGUGGCUUGAGGGACGUGCCGUCUCACCCGAAAGGGUGUUUCUAAGGAGGAGCUCCCAAAGGGCAAAUCUUAGAGAAGGGUGUAUACCCUAUAAUUUAACGGCCAGCAGCCGCGGUAAUUCCAGCUCCAAUAGCGUAUAUUAAAGUUGUUGCAGUUAAAAAGCUCGUAGUUGAACCUUGGGCCUGGCUGGCCGGUCCGCCUCACCGCGUGCACUGGUCCGGCCGGGUCUUUCCUUCUGGGGAGCCGCAUGCCCUUCACUGGGUGUGUCGGGGAACCAGGACUUUUACUUUGAAAAAAUUAGAGUGUUCAAAGCAGGCCUAUGCUCGAAUACAUUAGCAUGGAAUAAUAGAAUAGGACGUGUGGUUCUAUUUUGUUGGUUUCUAGGACCGCCGUAAUGAUUAAUAGGGAUAGUCGGGGGCGUCAGUAUUGCGUUGUCAGAGGUGAAAUUCUUGGAUUUACGCAAGACUAACUACUGCGAAAGCAUUCGCCAAGGAUGUUUUCAUUAAUCAGUGAACGAAAGUUAGGGGAUCGAAGACGAUCAGAUACCGUCGUAGUCUUAACCAUAAACUAUGCCGACUAGGGAUCGGGCGAUGUUAUCUUUUUGACUCGCUCGGCACCUCACGAGAAAUCAAAGUCUUUGGGUUCUGGGGGGAGUAUGGUCGCAAGGCUGAAACUUAAAGAAAUUGACGGAAAGGCACCACCAGGCGUUAGCAACUCUGCGCCGAAUAGCAGCCCGGAAGGUAGAUGGUGCCUAUAACAUGCUAGUCUUGGGCUUACCCCCAAGGCGACACCCCUAAAUUGCGGGGACUCCCUAAAGCUCUCGCUACCGCCCCGGCGCCGAAAGGCUGCAGGCACCGGGUUAACAACCACGGGUAUGGUCAAAACGCGAGAGAUGUCACAAUGGGUAAUCCGCAGCCAAGUCCCUACCGGCCCGUACGGCCAGGGGAAAGGUUCAGAGACUAAAUAGGGAUGGGCGAUCUGGUAUCGCUUAAGAGAUAGUCCGGCGGUAGGUCAACACCUACGACGAAUAAACGGGAGCCUGCGGCUUAAUUUGACUCAACACGGGGAAACUCACCAGGUUAACUACAGUUACGUCUGGGCCUGGAAUAGUUAUUUGACAACUAGUACACGCCUUUACUUGUGUGGGAGAAGUCUCCCAAUUUUGGACACAAGGCCUUCUCCGGAGGGUUUGGCGGUGCGACACUACCUGGUACAGGGGACGCCUCGCUGGAGUGAUCCGGCAGGCCGACUCUGUGGCGAGCUCGAGUAACGUCGAGCCGUCGCAACGCGCGGAAAGGAGUGGGUUCGCUGGAUCUCAGCGGGCUUAAGGUACGUGCUAAUCCCAUGGGAAACCAUGCUCAGUGACGGAGGUCCAAAUGCCAAAGUCACCGGGGUUUCAGAGAUGGAACGGUAUGGUGGGAUCAUUUCGAUGAUCUCAAGUUGCCAGACAUAAUAAGGAUUGACAGAUUGAGAGCUCUUUCUUGAUUUUAUGGGUGGUGGUGCAUGGCCGUUCUUAGUUGGUGGAGUGAUUUGUCUGCUUAAUUGCGAUAACGAACGAGACCUUAACCUGCUAAAUAGCCAGGCUAGCUUAGGCUGGUCGCCGGCUUCUUAGAGGGACUAUCGGCUCAAGCCGAUGGAAGUUUGAGGCAAUAACAGGUCUGUGAUGCCCUUAGAUGUUCUGGGCCGCACGCGCGCUACACUGACAGAGCCAACGAGUUCAUCACCUUGCCCGAAAGGGUUGGGUAAUCUUGUUAAACUCUGUCGUGCUGGGGAUAGAGCAUUGCAAUUAUUGCUCUUCAACGAGGAAUGCCUAGUAAGCGCAAGUCAU